GAGUUUGAUCAUGGCUCAGGAUGAACGCUAGCGGCAGGCUUAACACAUGCAAGUCGAGGGGUAUUCUAGCAAUAGGAGAGACCGGCGCACGGGUGCGUAACGCGUAUGCAAUCUACCUUUCACAGAGGGAUAGCCCAGAGAAAUUUGGAUUAAUACCUCAUAGUAUUAUGGAAUGGCAUCAUUUUAUAAUUAAAGUCACAACGGUGAAAGAUGAGCAUGCGUCCCAUUAGCUAGUUGGUAAGGUAACGGCUUACCAAGGCGACGAUGGGUAGGGGUCCUGAGAGGGAGAUCCCCCACACUGGUACUGAGACACGGACCAGACUCCUACGGGAGGCAGCAGUGAGGAAUAUUGGACAAUGGGCGCAAGCCUGAUCCAGCCAUGCCGCGUGCAGGAUGACGGUCCUAUGGAUUGUAAACUGCUUUUGCACAGGAAGAAACACCCCCUCGUGAGGGGGCUUGACGGUACUGUGAGAAUAAGGAUCGGCUAACUCCGUGCCAGCAGCCGCGGUAAUACGGAGGAUCCAAGCGUUAUCCGGAAUCAUUGGGUUUAAAGGGUCCGUAGGCGGUUUAGUAAGUCAGUGGUGAAAGCCCAUCGCUCAACGGUGGAACGGCCAUUGAUACUGCUAGACUUGAAUUAUUAGGAAAGUACUAGAAUAUGUAGUGUAGCGGUGAAAUGCUUAGAGAUACAUGGAAUACCAUUGCGAAAGGCAGUACUACUAUAUAU
RNAcentral lists this ribosomal RNA (724 nucleotides) under uncultured bacterium. RNAcentral's name for it is "bacterial SSU rRNA". It matches the Rfam family "Bacterial small subunit ribosomal RNA", at positions 9 to 740 of the family's 1533-position model. The record is from RNAcentral.